CCUGAAGCCUUUCAGGUGUGGCUGCUGUAUCACCCAUAGGUGGCAGAGUGGAGAGAGGCUGUGUCUACUAUCAGUGUUCUGACCUACAGACAUCUGAAUAAUUAGCAACUUAACAUU
Molecule: small nucleolar RNA, 117 nt
Organism: Rattus norvegicus (Norway rat)
Lineage: Eukaryota; Metazoa; Chordata; Mammalia; Rodentia; Muridae
Product: small nucleolar RNA SNORA17
Source: Ensembl